This 1476-nucleotide long non-coding RNA is filed under the name Nicotiana benthamiana. Its description in RNAcentral is "long non-coding RNA (NBEN_LNC016993)". Lineage: Eukaryota; Viridiplantae; Streptophyta; Magnoliopsida; Solanales; Solanaceae. The record is from RNAcentral.
GGUUUGUAACUUGAGAAGCAAGUUAAAAAAUAAGGGACUAAUCUGAAAAUAAAGAGGGACUAGGAUAGAAAACUACAAAAUCUGAUAAGGCCUCAUUUGUGCCAAUAAAAGGGUAUGCUUUUCGCUCCAUUCACAAAUUUUUGACUCUCAAAGAUGCCCUCCAGAAACAGUCUUUCUCCAGUUUCAUAUCUGGGAGUAGAAGUUCAUAAUUCAAAACCCAAAAACUAUAGAAACCCUUCGAAAAUAAAAAAACAAAAAGCAAUAAAAAAACUCAAAACAAACACUGUUACAUUGAGUUCUAGACCAAUUUCAAGUCUUAGUGGUUGUUCUCCUAAUGAUUCAAGUGCUACAAAGUUCCUGGAGUCAGAUUUGGUUUAUUUUGGUAAAUUCUGGUUUAUUGAAACUUUAGAGGUGUUUUAUGGUUGGAUUUCGAGAAAUUUUGGGUUUAGUUGAGUCAUUUUGGGGUCAGCUAUUGGGUGAUGUGUUUUCUGUGAGGAAUUCGUGGGUUUUUGUGAAGUGACUUUGGUUCAAAACUGUUCCUAUUGUUGCUGUUUGGGAUUGCGGGAUUCCAAUUGUUUUUAAUUGCUGCUGAUCCUUCUCUCCCUUUACAUUUAUUUGCAAUUCCAGGUACUUUUCUUAUAGACUCAAGUGAAGUGGAAAUUCGAGUCCACAUGUAUGAGCAAUGAUUGGAUUAAACGAAGAAGAUGAUGUCUACCUUACAUAUGAAAUCUUCAAAUGUUGUUUAGUUUUAAUUGUCAACCCUGAUAUUCAUUAGAUAAAUACAUAUUUGUAUUAAUUCGGACUAUCGAAACUGUUAGUUGACAAUAACUUCAAUUAAUUCAGUAUUGAUUCUCAUGUAGACUUGAAGUUUGAGAUAGAGUAAAUGUCGACUGAAAGUGAAAUUUGAAAAUAUGAACCUAUGUGUACCUUGUUAUAAAAGUGAGUAGCACCUGGUGUUAAGAAUAUUAAAUCGUUUAUUUCCAAUUCCAGGUACUUUUCUUAUAGACUCAAGUGAAGUGGAAAUUCGAGUCCACAUGUAUGAGCAAUGAUUGGAUUAAACGAAGAAGAUGAUGUCUACCUUACAUAUGAAAUCUUCAAAUGUUGUUUAGUUUUAAUUGUCAACCCUGAUAUUCAUUAGAUAAAUACAUAUUUGUAUUAAUUCGGACUAUCGAAACUGUUAGUUGACAAUAACUUCAAUUAAUUCAGUAUUGAUUCUCAUGUAGACUUGAAGUUUGAGAUAGAGUAAAUGUCGACUGAAAGUGAAAUUUGAAAAUAUGAACCUAUGUGUACCUUGUUAUAAAAGUGAGUAGCACCUGGUGUUAAGAAUAUUAAAUCCGAGUGAAAAUAAAAUAAUAGUUCGGUUUAUGGAGUAAAAUAAGCCAGUUCUGAUUCAAUAAGGCCUUCGCUAAUCUAAUGUGUAGGUUGUUCCAUUUAUGGUUGAGUAUGUGAAUUCUUUAGAUGUUUUGAAAAAAAAAU